UGAGACUUGAAAGUGCCCAAUUUUAGCUUGGUUGGGCUCAAUCUGUUUCACUCACAACUAAUACACUGAUUAAAAAAUCAAUAAGAAGGAACAGAAGAUGCCUCUGUUCGGGUACAGGAAAAAAGAGAAAGAAACGCCAUAUGCUUCAGACAAAAACAACACACAUGUGGGAACCCUUCGUACAAGCUUGCACAUCUGCCCUCCACGGUGUCAUUACCGGAUGCCUUUGUAAAGGUUUGAUUUGCAUAUAAUCAUUGAAUGUGUAAAAAUCGGAGGAAGUGCUUGAAGAGAAGCAGCAUGACUUUUCCAUAAAGCUUGUAAUCUUACAGAAAGUUUAAUUCAUGCAAUUUCCCCCUAUGUAAUCUCAAUUAUGAUCCAAAUUUGGGAAGGAGUUGGGAGAGAGAUGGGGGGAAAGCAAUUAAACAGACUGCAUAUAUAAGUAACACCAAUGGUAAAAUGACUGAAAAUUUCCAGCAAAAAAAGA
RNAcentral lists this long non-coding RNA (484 nucleotides) under Pogona vitticeps (central bearded dragon). RNAcentral's name for it is "lncRNA (ENSPVIG00000005447.1)". The record is from RNAcentral. Lineage: Eukaryota; Metazoa; Chordata; Lepidosauria; Squamata; Agamidae.